CCUUCACCAGGAUAAACAGCUGAGGAAGUCCUGCGGCUCACUCGAGCUCAGUGCCAUUGGUGCCUCUUCCAGAGGGCUCAGUCCUCAGGAGGACCGGUUUUGAUGACCUAGUCUGAUUACAGCAUCUUUGACAGCUUUAAAGGAAUUUGCUCGGGGGAAGACGACAGCUGCUGCUCUGAUGAAGGAUUUUUCUGAGCAGGCCUUCCAAGCAAGACAUGUCAGCAUGAGAUGCUGCCUACACUUUUCAUCGUGACCAACAGGUGGUUAAACUGCAAUCAAAAGCACUUAGCAAGAAUGGAUCUGUCCCUGUUAUGAGAUUUGAACUCCUGACAUCUUUAUCCACUGGAACUUGAGUGCCCAGGACACACCAGAGAGGGGAUUUUGAGAACAUUUUACAAGCCUUGC
This 405-nucleotide long non-coding RNA is filed under the name Anser brachyrhynchus (Pink-footed goose). Its description in RNAcentral is "lncRNA (ENSABRG00000012257.1)". The record is from RNAcentral. Lineage: Eukaryota; Metazoa; Chordata; Aves; Anseriformes; Anatidae.